UACUAUCUUUUCUGAACAAAUGCACAUGUAUUUUCAUAUUGAGUUUGUGCAACAAUUAAGGCAAGGAACACAUGCAUACUAUGACUGAUCAGAGACCUAUUAUUAUAUCCCCACACGUGUACUUAAUGACAAUAGGAAGCCCUCAGGAGUUCAUAUUUGUUAACUGCAUUUUUGUUAGCCUUAUCCGUAAAAGAAGUAUGAGUAUCCUUGUUCGUACCAUAAGGUUC
Molecule: long non-coding RNA, 227 nt
Filed under: Phoenix dactylifera (date palm)
Lineage: Eukaryota; Viridiplantae; Streptophyta; Magnoliopsida; Arecales; Arecaceae
Description: long non-coding RNA (PDAC_LNC011517)
Source: RNAcentral